GUUCAGCCCUUAGACAAAGAAAAUCUCACAAGCACUCAUAAACACUCAUUUUCAUCUCUAUAAUAUGUUCUUCUAAUUGUUUUGGGUUGAUUCGCCGCAGUGUUUUAGUGUAAAAGGCUGUAGUUUCUGUAUGUAGACUUUUUUUCCCUUCAAGUGUUCAGAAGUCUCGCGCUGUCAGACAGGCUGCAGCAAAUAUUUCAUUUUAACACUCACAAACAUCUGAAUUUAGCUCUUGGUGUGUUCUAAUGGGUGGAUUGUGUGCAAUCGCCGUAAUAUUUUAUUUUUAAAAGGUCUUAAACAAGAAUAAACUCGUUUGUUGUGAGCUCUUUGAGACAGCACGCGCUGUUCGGAGCGGUGAUUUCUCUCUCGUCUAUCUCUCUGUUCUCUGGCCAUACAUCAAUUAUUAAUGAGCCCUGACCCGCUAAUAAUAAGAUAUGUUGGUUUAGCUUGUCAGUGUGAAUCAAAUGUAUUUAUUUAUUUGUAUUUUUAACCGAUUUAAAAGUGAAACUAAGCGAGACUCCUCCCUCUCAGUCCCGGGAAUUGCUCCUGUAGAGGCGCAAUUUCUCUCAGACAAUGAAAGUCUCAG
This is a long non-coding RNA of Cyprinus carpio carpio, 586 nucleotides long. Lineage: Eukaryota; Metazoa; Chordata; Actinopteri; Cypriniformes; Cyprinidae. The record is from Ensembl.